Long non-coding RNA from Nyctereutes procyonoides (raccoon dog), 645 nucleotides. RefSeq lists it as uncharacterized. The transcript is spliced from 3 exons. NCBI's taxonomy places the organism in Eukaryota, Metazoa, Chordata, Mammalia, Carnivora, Canidae. The record is from RefSeq and is a predicted model, not a curated record.
CUGAACUUUAGGGAGUGCUGUAAUUUACUGGAGAGAGGGAACACAAGACUCCGGGCCCCAAGCCAUUGGUGGGAAACCAGAUCUCAAAAGCAGAAAAUGAAAAGUCGAUCUGGGGGAAGAUUUUUAAAUAAGUGGGUCAGAGGGACGGAGAGGAGAUGAGGCGAUCAAUCUUAGCCCCCUGACAGCUCCCUCCGAUGGCAUCAAAGAAUUUGGCUCUUUGGGAAAGCGGAGGGAACAGCCUAAAUUCCACAUCCCUUUAAAAGGCCUGGGGGUGGGGGGUGAUAGCCAAAGAGAAAGGUGAUUCUGCGAGAGCGGGGAAACAGAUGGGAAAUGGGGACAGAGGGAAGGCCGCUGAGUUGGGUGGAAAGUUUGUCUGGAGAACUCCCACGGCUCCGGCCUCCCCUCCCCCUCCCCCUCUCGGCGGCUGGGCCCAGAGGAGAAGGCUGGUGAGCAGAGAAAUGGCAGAUGAGCCGGCCGCUGGAACUAGAAACUUUGUGUCACUCUAACAGUCCCGUGGGUGGCGGAGAAUUGCAAGAAAGGAAAAAAAUCGAGAUUUGGAGGAAUUACCCACAAAGAUGGAAGGUGUGUUAAUUUGGGCGCUUCUUGGAUUCUACCCUGAGGAGGAGGCGCGUGGUGAGAGGAGAG